GAGCCAUUAGCUCAGUCGGUAGAGCACUUGACUUUUAAUCAAGGUGUCACUGGUUCAAUCCCAGUAUGGCUCACCA
Molecule: transfer RNA, 76 nt
Filed under: Leptotrichia sp. oral taxon 847
Lineage: Bacteria; Fusobacteriati; Fusobacteriota; Fusobacteriia; Fusobacteriales; Leptotrichiaceae
Description: tRNA-Lys
Rfam family: tRNA
About the family: Transfer RNA (tRNA) molecules are approximately 80 nucleotides in length. Their secondary structure includes four short double-helical elements and three loops (D, anti-codon, and T loops).
Source: RNAcentral